CGGGGCGGCGGGACGGUCGCCGCCUGCAUCGGCAGGGGGAGGAAAGUCCGGGCUUCACAGGGCACGGUGAUGGGUAACACCCACCCUCGGUAACGGUACCGGUAAGUCUCCCGGGCCGGGCCGCCAACGGGAGGGACAGUGCAACAGAAAGCAUACCGCCGGCUGGGCCAGUCGCUGGGCUUUUUCGCCGCGAUACUACCUGGCCGGUAAGGGUGAAAAGGUGCGGGGCGCAAGCCCUUAAUGUAAGAGCGCACCAGCAGCGGGGCGACCCGCUGGCUCGGCAAACCCCACCGGAAGCAAGGUCAAGCAGGGGAGAUGGUUGGCCCGACCGCUCGAUCCCCGGGUAGACCGCUGGACCCUGCGGGCAACUGCAGGGCUAGAGGAAUGACCGUCACCCGCUGCGGCGGGAACAGAACCCGGCUUAUACGCCGCUCCGCUCA
RNAcentral lists this RNase P RNA (440 nucleotides) under Gemmata sp. RNAcentral's name for it is "RNase P RNA component class A". It matches the Rfam family "Bacterial RNase P class A". From Rfam's summary of the family: Ribonuclease P (RNase P) is a ubiquitous endoribonuclease, found in archaea, bacteria and eukarya as well as chloroplasts and mitochondria. The record is from RNAcentral. RNAcentral also lists the same sequence under 3 other names. Lineage: Bacteria; Pseudomonadati; Planctomycetota; Planctomycetia; Gemmatales; Gemmataceae.